Molecule: ribosomal RNA, 468 nt
Filed under: uncultured bacterium
Lineage: Bacteria
Description: partial 16S ribosomal RNA
Rfam family: Bacterial small subunit ribosomal RNA
Source: RNAcentral
GACGAACGCUGGCGGCGUGCUUAACACAUGCAAGUCGAACGGAAAGGCCCUGCUUUUGUUGGGUUCUCGAGUGGCGAACGGGUGAGUAACACGUGAGUAACCUGCCCUUGACUUUGUGAUAACUUCAGGAAACUGGGGCUAAUACCCGAGAGAAUCUCCUGCUGCAUGGUGGGGGUUGGUAAGAUUCGGCGGUUGGGGAUGGACUCGAGGGUUAUCAGCUGGUUUGGGGGGUAGUUGCUUACCAAGGCUUUCACGGGUAGGCGGCCUGAGAGGGUGAACGGCCACAAUGGGACUGAGAUACGGAGCAGUAUGCUACGGGAGGCAGCAGUGGGAAAUAUUGCAGAAUGGCCGGACGCCUGAUGCAGCAGUCCCGCGUGCGUAAUGACGGGUUUCGGGGUGUAAACCAAUUUGGAAUGAGAUGAAGCGUGAGUGACGGUAAUGGGUCAAGAAGCACCAGCUAACUACGUG